AUGUCCAACCUCGAGCGCACCUUUAUCUCCAUGAAGCCACACGGUGUGCGGUGGGGCCUGCUGGGCAAUGUCAUGAGGCACUUUGAGCUGAAGGGAUUCCACCUUUGGGCCUCUGAGGAACACCUGAAGCAGCUCUACCCUGACCUGAAAGACUGUCCAUUCCUCCCUGGGCUGGUGAAGUACAUGAACUCAUGGCCAUGGAGGAGGGACUGAGUGUAGUGGAGACAGGCCGAGUGAUGCUUGGGAGACCAAUCCAACGGAUUCUAAGCCAGGCACCAGUGGCGGGGACUUCUGCAUUCAGGUUGGCAGGGACAUCAUUCAUGGCAGUGACUCAGUAAAAAGUGCUGAAAAAUAAAUCAGCCUAUGGUUUAUGCUGAAGAGCUGGUUGAUUACAAGUCUUGUGCUUAUGACUGGGCCUAUGAA
This 423-nucleotide long non-coding RNA is filed under the name Homo sapiens (human). RNAcentral describes it as "non-protein coding lnc-GDA-3:1". Lineage: Eukaryota; Metazoa; Chordata; Mammalia; Primates; Hominidae. The record is from RNAcentral.